This 497-nucleotide ribosomal RNA is filed under the name uncultured bacterium. RNAcentral's name for it is "partial 16S ribosomal RNA". It matches the Rfam family "Bacterial small subunit ribosomal RNA", at positions 28 to 507 of the family's 1533-position model. The record is from RNAcentral.
GAUGAACGCUGGCGGCGUGCCUAAUACAUGCAAGUCGAGCGAACAGAUAAGGAGCUUGCUCCUUUGACGUUAGCGGCGGACGGGUGAGUAACACGUGGGUAACCUACCUAUAAGACUGGGAUAACUUCGGGAAACCGGAGCUAAUACCGGAUAACAUUUGGAACCGCAUGGUUCUAAAGUGAAAGACGGUUUUGCUAUCACUUAUAGAUGGACCCGCGCCGUAUUAGCUAGUUGGUAAGGUAACGGCUUACCAAGGCAACGAUACGUAGCCGACCUGAGAGGGUGAUCGGCCACACUGGAACUGAGACACGGUCCAGACUCCUACGGGAGGCAGCAGUAGGGAAUCUUCCGCAAUGGGCGAAAGCCUGACGGAGCAACGCCGCGUGAGUGAUGAAGGGCUUCGGCUCGUAAAACUCUGUUAUUAGGGAAGAACAAAUGUGUAAGUAACUAUGCACGUCUUGACGGUACCUAAUCAGAAAGCCACGGCUAACUACGUG